UAAUCAUGGUGAGGAAAUACAUCUAACAAGUCUUUGAAUCUCUCCCACCACUGAUAGAAGGUUUCAACAUCUUUUUUAGCAAAACUCGUGAUCUAUCUCUUUAAGGUA
Carya illinoinensis is the source of this 108-nucleotide small nucleolar RNA. The record is from RefSeq and is a predicted model, not a curated record. Lineage: Eukaryota; Viridiplantae; Streptophyta; Magnoliopsida; Fagales; Juglandaceae.